AUUGAACGCUGGCGGCAGGCCUAACACAUGCAAGUCGAACGGUAGCACAGAGGAGCUUGCUCCUUGGGUGACGAGUGGCGGACGGGUGAGUAAUGUCUGGGAAACUGCCCGAUGGAGGGGGAUAACUACUGGAAACGGUAGCUAAUACCGCAUAACGUCGCAAGACCAAAGAGGGGGACCUUCGGGCCUCUUGCCAUCGGAUGUGCCCAGAUGGGAUUAGCUAGUAGGUGGGGUAACGGCUCACCUAGGCGACGAUCCCUAGCUGGUCUGAGAGGAUGACCAGCCACACUGGAACUGAGACACGGUCCAGACUCCUACGGGAGGCAGCAGUGGGGAAUAUUGCACAAUGGGCGCAAGCCUGAUGCAGCCAUGCCGCGUGUAUGAAGAAGGCCUUCGGGUUGUAAAGUACUUUCAGCGAGGAGGAAGGCGUUGUGGUUAAUAACCGCAACGAUUGACGUUACUCGCAGAAGAAGUACCGGCUAACUCCGUGCCAGCCGCCGCGGUAAAAGGG
RNAcentral lists this ribosomal RNA (511 nucleotides) under uncultured Enterobacterales bacterium. RNAcentral describes it as "bacterial SSU rRNA". It matches the Rfam family "Bacterial small subunit ribosomal RNA", at positions 30 to 528 of the family's 1533-position model. The record is from RNAcentral. Lineage: Bacteria; Pseudomonadati; Pseudomonadota; Gammaproteobacteria; Enterobacterales.